GACGAACGCUGGCGGCGUGCUUAACACAUGCAAGUCGAACGAUGAAGCGGUGCUUGCACCGUGGAUUAGUGGCGAACGGGUGAGUAAUACGUGAGUGACCUACCUUUGACUCUGGGAUAAGCCUGGGAAACUGGGUCUAAUACCGGAUACGACCAAUCUCUGCAUGGGGUGUUGGUGGAAAGCGUUAUGGAGUGGUUUUAGAUGGGCUCACGGCCUAUCAGCUUGUUGGUGAGGUAAUGGCUUACCAAGGCGACGACGGGUAGCCGGCCUGAGAGGGUGACCGGCCACACUGGGACUGAGACACGGCCCAGACUCCUACGGGAGGCAGCAGUGGGGAAUAUUGCACAAUGGGCGCAAGCCUGAUGCAGCGACGCCGCGUGAGGGAUGACGGCCUUCGGGUUGUAAACCUCUGUUAGCAUCGAAGAAGCGAAAGUGACGGUAGGUGCAGAGAAAGCGCCGGCUAACUACGUGC
This 472-nucleotide ribosomal RNA is filed under the name uncultured Rothia sp. RNAcentral's name for it is "bacterial SSU rRNA". It matches the Rfam family "Bacterial small subunit ribosomal RNA", at positions 28 to 508 of the family's 1533-position model. The record is from RNAcentral. Lineage: Bacteria; Bacillati; Actinomycetota; Actinomycetes; Micrococcales; Micrococcaceae.